This 733-nucleotide long non-coding RNA is filed under the name Pan troglodytes (chimpanzee). RNAcentral describes it as "lincRNA". Lineage: Eukaryota; Metazoa; Chordata; Mammalia; Primates; Hominidae. The record is from RNAcentral.
CUAGCCCAGUGGCUUCCAAACCUGGAGGGUCGGCCUAUUUUCUUUAUUCUACAAGUGCCUCCACAGUGCAGCAAAGUGUGGAAACCACUUGGCUUGAGAGAGCUGGGUCCUCUGGAGCAGUUCAGGGUCACCACAGAAGUAGGCCGUCUCUUGGGCCUAUUCGCCCCAGCUUCGAGGUGGUGGUGCUUUAUUAGUGUUAUUAAGGCUAGAGUGCAGUGGUGCGAUCUCGGCUCACUACAACUUCUACCUCCUGAGUUCAAGCGAUUCUCCUGCCUCAGCCUCCUGAGUAGCCAGGACUACAGUGUCAAGGUCAUGAAAGCCACUGAAAGACUGAGAACUGUUCCAGAAAGGAGACUAGAGAGACAUGGCAGCCAAAUGCUCCACAUAAUCCUGUCCUGGAUUCUUUUCCUACAAAGGAAGGGGUCUGAGGAUUAGGUGGUAGUACUGAAUCAAGGAACUAUCAUCUCCUAUUGUGCUGUAGGCAAACUUGAGUGACAUGGUGGAAGCCACCAGAGAGAAUAUCUGAAGCAAUUCAUUAAAAUCUUGGCAGCCAGACCCCAGCUCCCACUUUCCCUGAAAGCUCCCUUUAAUGAAGCUGAACGCUGUCCCAGCAAUUCCCUCCACAGAAGACCUACUGUCACCACCUCUGGAGGGGCAAUUCCUGGAGGAACCAAGUCAGCCAAUUGAAGGUCCUGAAUAAGCAAAAACUAAGUAAAUAAAUUACCAUCUCGAA